Long non-coding RNA from Chelonia mydas (Green sea turtle), 529 nucleotides. RefSeq lists it as uncharacterized. Lineage: Eukaryota; Metazoa; Chordata; Testudines; Cheloniidae. The transcript has 3 exons. The record is from RefSeq and is a predicted model, not a curated record.
GGAGUGGGAAGGGCUAGUUGCCUGAGAGGAAGGUUGUUUGGAAACAGCACAACAGAUCGUCCGGCUCCUUCAGAGGCUAGAAGAAAACACUAUCCACUGCAAACAGAACCCACUUGCAAUAAAGGAUGGGCAUCCAGCGCUGCAACCCUGCUAUGCAUUUUUCUACUUCCCAAUGCAUCCUUCUGUUCUCCUCUUUCUUUUCACAAGGCUCUCAUUCGCUCCUCUAUCUGGAUCAAACAUUGGAAACAGCAGUUUACCACCAAAGGAGAUGCUAAUAGCUGUUCCCCAAACACAGCACAGGCACUGGGGGUGAGACAAUCUAAGAUCUACCUGAGAACAGCUAUACCAUCCCUGUCACACUCCUACACAACAAUCAGUUUACUUGCAAUUCUUUAAAAGCAACGGUCCUCUCUGUGUUGGGGUUUGUCUGUAUUUUAACAUCUCUGUUUCCUGCACCUUGACUCUGGGGAGCGAGAUUAUUCUAGCAAAAAUAAAAUAAAUAAUAGAGCCUGCUUUCCCCUAAGCAAAC